This 564-nucleotide long non-coding RNA is filed under the name Gouania willdenowi (blunt-snouted clingfish). RNAcentral describes it as "lncRNA (ENSGWIG00000016927.1)". Lineage: Eukaryota; Metazoa; Chordata; Actinopteri; Blenniiformes; Gobiesocidae. The record is from RNAcentral.
GUGGAGUUUGAUGGUUGGUCGCUGCUCUCUCUCUCUCUCUCUCUCUCUCUCUCUCUCUAACCAUUCCAGCUCUGCUGACAGACAGAGACACUCGGCUCACUGACUGACCUGCAUGUCUGUCUCCUGAUGUGAGGGUGAUGGAUGUCCCUGUGGAGCGGGACUCUGGCUUUUCCCCUCACCGGAAACACAUCACUUUACAGGACAAAUAAGGAGUCAGAGGACAAACACCAGGAUUCUUGCCAAAAACACCGCCGACGCUGCUGUGGUGUCUGUCACACUGACACUACGUCCCUUUUUCUUCCUUCGUCUUCUUCUCCGGCUCCGGCACACACACACACCGGGGUAGUUAGGUCCAAAACACGGAUAAAGCUAGCCCAGCUGUCCCCUCCUGGUACCGGGGAGCUAAGAGCGUCUUCUCUCAGCCCUCGCUCUACUCUGAUAUCAACGAUCAGCAGUCCUGUGAGAGCCAAAAGGAAACCCACCAAUUUUACACAUCAAGACUGGUAUAAGACAUGAGCUGCUAAUGAUUUAGUCGUUUCUACCUGGGUUGGAGGUCUUCUAGAG